This 120-nucleotide ribosomal RNA is filed under the name Danio rerio (zebrafish). The record is from RNAcentral. Lineage: Eukaryota; Metazoa; Chordata; Actinopteri; Cypriniformes; Danionidae.
UCAAUUGUAUACAGCUAGCUCUCUGCAUCUCCCACAUGGUCGCCCACUGAAGCUAAGCAUGGCUUCGCCCGGUCAGUCCUUGGAUGUGAGACCACAUGGGAAAGCUUGGUUGCAUUAGUG